Molecule: long non-coding RNA, 8771 nt
Filed under: Nicotiana tabacum (common tobacco)
Lineage: Eukaryota; Viridiplantae; Streptophyta; Magnoliopsida; Solanales; Solanaceae
Description: long non-coding RNA (NTAB_LNC016445)
Source: RNAcentral
CCAAGCAACACUAGGUAAGUGAUUUCUUCAAAAUUUUGAGUUAAAUAUGUGAUCUUACAUGGAUUUAGACAUGAAAAAUUAGUAUAAAUUUGGAAUUUUUGGGGAAGACCUAGAAUUUGUAAUUUUGGACUUUUACCUUGAAAUUGAGCAUGAAAAUUAGAACAAAUUGUAUAUUUUAGUUAGUAAAGCUAUGGGUAGAAUUUAUCUUCGAGAAAUUUCGAAAUUCGGGCACGUGGGCCUGAGGGCAUUUUGGUCAACUUUUCGAGCGGAGUUGGGAAAUUAUAUAAUUUGAAUUGUUACAAGUAUUAGAGUGAAUUUUUAUUGGUUUGACCGUUGUUUGAAUAGUUUUGGGGCGUUGUGCAUCAAUUGGAGUCGUUGGAAGGGCUUGGAAGCCGGUUAUGGAAAUUUCGAAGCGAGGUGAGUCUCCUUUCUAACCUUGUAAGAGGAAAUUGUCCCAUAUGUAAAAUAAUUGGUUAUGUGCUCCUAUUUGUGGGGGCUACGUAUGCACGAGGUGACGAGAAUCCGUGCGUAGCUGCUAUUAUGUUUAAGUCCGGGGUAGUCUAGGACGCAAAAAUAUGCUAUACUUGAAAAAAUUGUAAUCUUAUUGAUAGUUGAAUUGCUUAAAUCCUAUCGAAUAGUUAAAUGAAUUUCCCAAAGGAUUAAACUUCAUUUUUUUAUUGAAUCAUUAAUAGAGAAUUGGCUUUUAUUUGGAUAAACAUUCCUCGAUAAAUUCUUAAUUGGCUGUUUGAGUAUGUAUUUCUAUGUGUACAUGCAUCGCAUGAAUGAUUCGUGAGUAGGGUGAUUGUUUAUUUAAAUUUGACCGCGUCGCAAGUAUGAUUCGCGAGUGGGGUAAUAGAUGCAUCUAUGGUUCGAGCCGUUCGACCCUCGACAGUGCACAUUUUACAUUUCUAUUGGAUCGGGCCGUACGACCUCUGCAUGAUAUGCGCAUGCUUGUAUUGCUUACCUGAGAAUUUUAAAUGUUGAUAAUUGCCUUUCCUGGCUAGAGAUAAAUUGAUAAAGAUAAUGAAAAGUAAAUCUUUGGAAAUCCUCAUUAUUUGAGAAGUUGUUUACCUGCUUUCUGGCUUUAUGCUUUUAAUUUUGCUUAUGAAAUCCAUGAAUUUCUCACAUUUUUACUACAUUGUCAUUGGACCACUAGUAAGUGUCGAAGUCAACCUCUCGUCUCUACUUCUUCGAGAUUAGACGGGAUACUCAUUGGGUACUGGUUGUUUUCGUACUCAUACUACAGUUGCUGUGCAUUUUGUUGCACAUGCACAUGCAUAUCUAGUGGCCUAAUGGGCGUAGCAGCAUGGUUGAUACAGAGACUUAGGUAAAUUGCAUUUCUUGUGACGACCCACAGCCAGUAGAGUCUCUUUCAAAUUUCUGUAUUUACUUUCUGUCCAAUAUUGUAUUCCGGACGAUUGUUGUAUUACAUUAUUUCCUAGAAAUUGCUCAUGCACUUGUGACAUCGGGUUCUGGGAUGAUCACGGGAUUUUUCAAUAGUUAAAUUUUGUAAAGACAUCCUCAUUUAUCCAGUGGAGUUUAUUAUUUAUUAUUUAUUUAUUUAAAGGAAAUGAUUUCAAAUUAAUUAAAUUGAGAAAUUGCUAGUAAAUUGUAGUUGGCUUGCCUGACAGUGGUGUACGGCGCCAUCAUGACCCUUAGUGGAUUUUGGGUUGUGACAACAUGGUAUUAGAGCACUUGGUUCCCUUAGGUCUCAUGAGUCAUGAGCAAGUCUAGUCGAAUCUCGCGGAUCGGUACGGAGACGUCUGUACUUAUCUUCGAGAGGCUACAGAGCUGUUAGGAGUACUUCCCUUCUUGAUUCCUCAUCGUGUGAUUUGAUUCCUUGAGGCUUAUGCCCUUGUUUCCUUCCUACUCAAUCUUAUGCGAUGCGAACCACUUGUUAUAAAUCGAGAAUUAAAAAAUUAUAAUAGUACUACAGAUGUGGUGCGGGAUGUUUCUUCCGGUAUAGUUGGUUGGGCCAUUGUCAUCACCUUGCAGAAGGAAUUUUCUAUUGUUUUGGCUCAGUAGUUGUGCUUCUAAGAGCUUGGAGGCUAUGCAUAGGUUGCUAUGAUGCUCACGAUUGGUUAUCGCGCAGUAUUGACUUGAUGGUAAGAUACUUGCCCAUGUGUUGGGGCGGUGAAUGAUUUGAAAGGAAGUCUACUCAGUGCACGAUUCAGAUAUCUGAUAUUUCAUUUCCGGUAGAGGAAAAAUAGUUGGCCUAUGAAUGUCCAGAUUUGGGAUGAUGGAGUAACGAGACUUGGUAUUUUCGAGUGUGGUGGAAUAUUCAUCUGUGAUGUAGUGUUGUCAUCCUCGAUUGUAUGUGUUAAGUUUGCCGGUGUUAUGGUUUUCUGCAAUUCGCCUUUGGGGUAAGAUAUGGUGAAAUAAUAUUGGAGAAACGACUAUUAGAUAUUGCGGGGUAAGGUGGUUCAGGAUUGAAUCGGCGUUUCUAAUAUUGACGGCUCGAGAAAGUUGAUCUUCUGAAAGGGUUAAAGUUAGUAGCGAUUUGUGGGUUCAAGUGUUACGAAGAUAGAUUUUAUUUAAGGCAACAACUGAGCAGCAAAGGAUGAGAAAGGACAUGUGGGGAGUGUUAGGCGGUGGUUAAAAUUUCUAGAAGGUCAGGUAUAAGAAGCAAAGGUCGAGUGGUCGAUUAGAUGGGUGAGUUCCGCCAACGUGGGAGAGUGGCGGAGUUGCAUAUGGGCUUUGUGUUAGGAUCACUAUGCACCUUAAGGAGAGUUUGGAACGACUUGGGAAUUUUAGUGAUUGAUGAUUGGGGUCUACGAAUCUAAUUUGAAGUAUGAGCUACUAUACUGCAGGAGAUUUGAUAUAACGGAAAGGAGCUACUUGAAAUGAAGAAGAUACAACAUAGCUUUGAAUUGGAAGGAUGUUGCUGCACAUUUAAUUGAUGUCCACGAGGGGUGAAUGGACUUGUCCAGUUAGAGAGUGAGCUCGGACUUAGGAUGUGUUAUUGAUGUCAUAGUGAUUGUACCUCGUGCAGCAGCGUUGGAAGAUGUCGGCAUGUAAAUUCCACAUACGGGUUAUCUCCAGUGAGCAGAUCGGCGGUCGCAUGGUUGGCGAAGCUUCUGCGAAGAAUUCUAUUAGUUAUACAGCAAAGAGACCGGUCGUGCGAAUGUGGUUGAUGAUUUAGAGUAUAAAAUGGGUUUUACAGAAAGAUUCCGAGAAUUAUGGAGGUUGAUUGCGCAAGGUUAUGUCAAUUAGAGAUAAAGAAUCCUGAUGAAUUUCAGAGUUGUGUAAUAGUGGCUUCAAGCUAAGAGGUAAUUUGAGCAAAGGAAUUGUUAAAAGUAUGCUAUGGUUGGCCUUAUUGGCUCAUGUUCAGACUUGGGGAAGGAUUCGAGAUUUAUGCCAUGUAUAAAUGCGGGUUUCAAGGGAAGUGAUUCUGCCGGGUGCUUCGUCGACAGGGUAUUCAUGUGCUAGAAGAUUCAUGGAGUUGAUUAUAUUCGGGGCCAAGUCAGAGCGGGUGGCUCUCAACAAUGGUCCUAGUGGAUUCAAAUGGGCAAAGUGUGGUGCCUAAUGAUUGCGAGCCUAUAGGUACGGUUAAGAAUCAAGUUUUGUAUCACCUUAUGAGAAGAGGCCCAGAAUAUUCUAUGAUGUUUUGACUUGCAGUGUAGCAUUUGGGAGGUAUGAAAUGGUUCGUGGGAUUUGAGACAACAUGGUCUCGCGACUCAAGGUCGCUCGGGAUGAGUGCGGAUGGAGUGUGUUAUGUAUUGAAUGAAAUUAUUAUUAUUUCUAAGGCAAUCAAGGAUAAAUUGUAAAGAAGAUAGGUUGGUUAGCCAUAGUUGAAUUGGCAUAUUGCUGGUAGUGAUCAGUUCCUUCAACGUGAUCAAGUUAUGCAAGUGAUUUGUGACAGUGCGUGUGAGGCUUGUCGGCCACCGUAAUUGAUGUUAUUCAGAAGUAUUCCACUAUUAUGGCCUGUCAUGUGUAGGCGGAUCCCAGAAGGGCUAUGGUGACUUAGACCACUACUUAGAGAUUUUCUACGGUUAUGAGAAUUCACACGUGUGUUGCCAUGGUUAUCCUGAAAUGAGUUAGGUGAAAAGUUUUAUAUGAUGACGUGUUAAUCUAUUAGUGGUUACGGAGUUAUGAUGAAAAUCGUGUUCUAUCGUAUAUUGGCAUGUUGGGUGCAGUGAGGAGUAUGGAAUUUGAAGUGAGGAUCAAGGUUACACUUCGGUGUUGACAAGGAUGUCAUGAGCUCGGAUGAGCAGUAAACGAGUUUCGAUGUUUAAAGUAAGUGGGUAUCGUCUUCAGCGUCACCUGAGAUCAGUGUUUUGUGAAAAAGGCCUUGCAUCCUGGUUAUGGAUUCUUGAACGCUUUCUCAGCGUUAGUGCGGCUGGUGGUAUGGAUACACAUACUUGUUGUCUGUUACGAAAGGUCGUGGGAGCGUGCCCCACAUGAAGAUUGUAUAAGUGUGGCAUGUAGUCACUUGAUUGAUUGAAGAUUUAAACCAAGUAUGAAGACAGUGGUGAUAUCAUUAAUUUGAGAAUUUAUGCUUGAAGGGCACUCAACUUAUUGGGUUGUGGACUGUGGAGGAUUGCCCCGGUUAUUAUGGUAGUUCUCGUGUGUUAUGAGAAAAAAGGAGUUAUUAUGGACCUUCGAAAGGUUAUUAGCCUAGUACAAUGUGAUCAGAAUCAACUUGGGGUCUGUAGAUGGAUCUAAAUGUGAAUAUGGGCUCUAUAUCAGGCCAGAUGUGUUCAUUUCAGCAAUGCGCUCCUUUGGACAAGUAGUCGGGGUACUAUUUCGUCGUCAACUAUUUCAUGUAAUGAUAUAUUGCGCCGUAUGAGUUGUGAGACGGCUUGGUGAAUUUCUUAUGUGUUGAGGUUCCGCGUAGAGAUGAUGUUAUAUGAGCAGGAUAGCUUUCGAGAUUCAGAUCGUAUAUCGCACCUCAGUUAUGCUUGAGUUUUGUAGCCUUUGGAACUAUAUGUCUCCCCAGGAAUGGUAUUAUGCACUUACUGUGCUUGUGACCGAUGUUCGAUAUUUUGCUGUAAUGAGCAAUUUAGCUCGAUGUAUAUCUCCUUAUAUGAAUUCUAUGUAUGAAUCGGGUAGCACGCCUCCAUGGGUAUGUUAUUUGUAUCGGGUUGCACGCCGCAACAGUGUGAUGUUGAGUACAGUUUUCUAUAUGCUAUUUGUGUAUGCCUUGUUUCCUAUUUUCUAAGGAAAGUCCAUAUUAGUAAAAGUAGUUCCUUCGAGAGUUUGUUUUCCUUUUGUCAUGUUCGAGUUCAUAGCCUAUUGGCACAUUGUGGCAUCAUAUGAGACUUUUGAUCAUGUCCGGGGUGGCUUAUUGCCUGAGCGGUUCGUACUGGGUGAGACGAGAUCAUUGGAUUUAGGAUCAGUGCAAUCUGAUUAUAUGAAGUAUAUUAAGGAGCUAAGACCAUUAUUUGGUUCAGAAUGAGGUGAUGGUUCUUGUCAGGAGUAUAGACCCAAUGAUUUGUUGAUUUGCCAGUUGGGUAUGAAUUUCUACACACCUCUUCUAUCUUGGCGGUAUUUAAGAGUCAGAGCAAUAUGUAUAUAGGUCAUGAGGUGCAUUGGGAUCAUCAAAUUCGUGGAAUUUCAACUAAUUUUAUCAGAGAAUGCUAUUGUGGUCCUGUAAGUAAAGUGGUGCAAGGUGUGAUUUCAGCUAAGGUAUGCAGUCAUGUUUUGGUGUUACGUAUAGUUAUUGAUACGGUGAGCGUAUGUUGGGUCAGGUCUGGCAGAGAAUUCCGGAUGUUGGAAUUGGACUCUAAGGCUUCUUGGCUUAAGUGGAAAGGAUAUCUUCAGAUUGAUCGAGCUAGGGUGCCCAUCUAAGUUAUGGUAGCACGGGUAGGUGCUUGAGGUGUUAAACAGUGAUUUCAGACAACCCCAACAUAGUUCUUAGCACAUUCGAGGAUGAACGUAUGUUUAAGUGGGAGAGAAUGUAACGACCCGACCGGUCGUUUUGAGCUCUAGCGCGUCAUUCAGAAGUUUGGGGCCAUGAGCAGCUUCACUUCAGAUAUUAUGACUUGUAUGCAUGAUCAGAAUUGAAUUCCGGGGAAUUCAGAGUUGAUUUGGAAAGGGAAUUCUCAUUUCAGAAGCUUUAAGUUGAAAGAAUUGCCUAAGAUUGGAUUUCAGAAUAAACGACCUCGAAAUAGGGAUCUGAAGGUUCUAGUAGGUUCGUAUGAUGAUUUUUGGACUGGGGCGUAUGCCCGGAUCGGGUUUUGGAUGACCCGGGAGCAUUUUGGCGCCUAUUGUGGAAGUUAGCAUUUUGGAAGAAAUUUCAUAAGUUUGGGUUGAAGUACAUUUCAGUGUUAUCGAUGUCCGUUUGGGAUUCCGAGUCUGGGAGUAGCUCCGUAUGGUGAUUCUGGAGUUGGCAGCGCAAUCAGAAGUGAAUUCAGUGGUCCGUAGGUCAUUUUGAAGUCAUUUGGCUAAAGAUAGAAAUUUGAAGGUUUUUGAAAAGUUUGACCAAGAGUUUGACUUUUUGAUAUCGGGGUCGGAUUCCAAUUCCAAAAGUUGGAACAGGUCCAUAAUGUCAAAUAUGACUUGUGUGCAAAAUUUGAGGUCAAUCGAACGUGAUUUGACGGGUUUCGGCAUCGAGUGUAGAAGUUUGAAAUUUCGAAGUUCAUAAAGUUUGGAUUGGAGUACGAUUCAUGAUUUCGACGUUGUUUGAUGUGAUUUGAGGCCUCGAGCGAGCUCGUAUCAUGUUUUGAGACAUGUCGUAUAAUUAUUUAAGGUCCCGAAGGACUCUGGUGGAUUUCGGAAGGUUAACGGAAUGAAUUUCGGACUAAAGAGUUGCUGAAAGUUUCUGCAGAAAGCUGUUUUGACAGCAACUAGUGCAAUCGUGGAGCUGCAUUUGGAAGCUUAUAUCUCGCAAUUUAUAAGGAAUCUGAAUUUUUACAAAACAUAAAAGUUGUUACCCUUACAUUCUAGUUUCCAGAAAUUUAAACCAUUCAUAAUUUGGACAUUUUAUCAGAAAGGUAUGAUCGAUUGAAAAUGGCUAGUGGAGCAGUUUCGACAGAAUUUUCUGAUGCAUGGAGCCGAAUUUAGAAGCUCAUAUCUCGGAAUAUAUAAAGAUUUAUAUGGUGUGCAACCUAUAAAAUGAAAGAUCUUCGAGUCUAGUUUCUAAAUUUUCAAACCGUUUGUCAUUUGGAUAUUUUUACAAGGAGUUACGGACAUUUUAACAGAAGGUGUACAACAGAAGGUACAACUCGAUGAAGCCUGGGCAAGUUGUUUUAAAUAUGAGUUUUGGCCCAUUUCUUUCAUUUGGCUUGGACGAUUUUAUGGAGCUCAAGGAGGUAUUUUUACGAAGCAACACUAGGUAAGUGAUUUCUUCCUAUUUUUGAGUUAAAUAUGUGAUCUUACAUGGAUUUAGACAUGGAAAAUUAGUAUAAAUUUGGAAUUUUUGGGGAAGACCUAGAAUUUAUAAUUUUGGACUUUUACCUUGAAUUUGAGCAUGAAAAUUAGAACAAAUUAUAUAUUUGAGUUAGUAAAGCUAUGGAUAGAAUUUAUCUUCGAGAAAUUUUGGAAUCCGGGCGCGUGGGCCCGAGGACAUUUUGGUCAACUUUUCGAGCGAAGUUGGGAACUUAUAUAAUUUGAAUUUUUACAAGUAUUAGAGUGAAUUUUUAUUUGUUUGCCGUUGUUUGAAUAGUUUUGGGGCAUUGUGCAUCAAUUGGAGUCCUUGAAGGGCUUGGAAGCCGGUUAUGGAAAUUCGGUGCGAGGUGAGUCUCCUUUCUAACCUUGUAAGAGGGAAUUGUCCCCAUAGGUAAAAUAAUUGGUUAUGUGCUCCUAUUUGUGGGGUCUAUGUACGCACGAGGUGGCGAGAGUCCGUGCGUAGCUACUAUUAUGUUUAAGUCCGGGUAGUCUAGAACCCAAAAACAUACUAUACUUGGAAAAAUUGUAAUCUUAUUGAUCGUUGAAUUGCUUAAAUCCUAUCGAAUUGUUAAAUGAAUUUCUCAAAGGAUUAAAAUUCAUUUUUUUAUUGAAUCAUUAAAAGAGAAUUGACUUUUAUUUGGAUAAGCGUUCCCCGAUAAAUUCUUAAUUGGCUGUUUGAACAUGUAUUUCUAUGUGUACCUGUGUCGCAUGAAUGAUACGCAAGCAGGGUGAUUGUUUAUUUAAAUUUGACCGCGUCGCAAGUAUGAUUCACGAGCGGGGUAAUAGAUGCAUCUAUGGUUUGGGCCGUUCGACCCUCGGCAGUGCACAUUUUACAUUUCUGUUGGAUCGGGCCGUACGACCUUAGCAUGAUAUGUGCAUUUUUGUAUUGCUCGCCUGAGAAUUUUAAAUAUUGAUAAUUGCCUUUCCUGGCCAGAGACAAAUUGAUAAAGAUAAUGAAAAGUAAAUCUUUGGAAAUCCUUAUUAUUUGAGAAGUUGUUUACUUGCUUUCCGGCUUUAUGAUUUUAAUUUUGCUUAUGAAAUCCAUGAAUUUCGCACUAGUAAGUGUCGAAGUCGACCUCUCGUCUCUACUUCUUCGAGAUUAGACGGGAUACUCAUUGGGUACACGUUAUUUUCGUACUCAUACUACACUUGAUGUGUAUUUUUGUUGCACAGGCAUAUGCAUCUCUAGUAGCCUAAUGGGCGUAGCAGCAUAGUUGAUACGGACACUUGGGUGAGCUGCACUUCUUGAGAUGACCCGCAUCUAGUAGAGUCUCUUUCAAAUUUUUGUAUUUACUUUCUGUCCAAUAUUGUAUUUCAGACGGUUGUUGCAUUGCAUUAUUUCCUAGAAAUUGCUCAUGUACUUGUGACACCGGGUUCUGGGAUGAUCACAGAAUUUUUCAGUAGUUAAAUUUUUUAAAGACAUCCUCGUGUAUCAAGCGGAG